Molecule: transfer RNA, 73 nt
Filed under: Proteomonas sulcata
Lineage: Eukaryota; Cryptophyceae; Pyrenomonadales; Geminigeraceae
Description: tRNA-Ile
Rfam family: tRNA
About the family: Transfer RNA (tRNA) molecules are approximately 80 nucleotides in length. Their secondary structure includes four short double-helical elements and three loops (D, anti-codon, and T loops). Further hydrogen bonds mediate the characteristic L-shaped molecular structure. tRNAs have two regions of fundamental functional importance: the anti-codon, which is responsible for specific mRNA codon recognition, and the 3' end, to which the tRNAs corresponding amino acid is attached (by aminoacyl-tRNA synthetases). tRNAs cope with the degeneracy of the genetic code in two manners: having more than one tRNA (with a specific anti-codon) for a particular amino acid; and 'wobble' base-pairing, i.e. permitting non-standard base-pairing at the 3rd anti-codon position.
Source: RNAcentral
AGAUCUAUAGUUCAACGGUUAGAACACACGCCUGAUAAGCGUGAGGUUGAAAGUUCAAUUCUUUCUAGGUCUA